Molecule: non-coding RNA, 414 nt
Organism: Peromyscus maniculatus bairdii (prairie deer mouse)
Lineage: Eukaryota; Metazoa; Chordata; Mammalia; Rodentia; Cricetidae
Source: the annotation of a RefSeq genome assembly
CACAGGGAAAGCUAGAAGAUGGUGUCCACAUCUCAACUCCUUGGACUUCUGUUCUUCUGGAUUUCAGCCUCCAGAGGUGACAUUGUGCUGACUCAGUCUCCAGCCACCCUGUCAGUGACUCCAGGGGAAAGAGUCACCAUGACCUGCAAGGCCAGCCAGGGUAUUGGCACAAACUUACACUGGUAUCAGCAAAAACCAAAUGAGACUCCAAGGCUUCUCAUCAAGUAUGCUUCCCAGUCAGUCUCUGGGAUCCCCUCCAGGUUCAGUGGCAGUGGGUCAGGGACAGAUUUCACCCUCAACAUCAACACUGUGGAGCCUGAAGAUGUUGCAACUUAUUACUGUCAACAGAGUAGCAGCUUACCUCCCACAGUGAUACAGACCAUAGCAAAAACUACCAGGAAAGCAGAAGUGUGA